GGCGGGGCCAUCGGCGUGCCUAAGAGCUGCCCUCCGAUGUCGCUCUUCCUUUCCCGUGCGACCGGCGAGGGAGGAAGAAGCGCGAAGAACCGUCUGUCAUGCUGGUGUGGUGGCGGCGGCGGAGCCUGCGGGCCCGUAGCUGUGCUCUGCGAGGUGCAAGAAAGCCUUUGCGGUGAAAGUGUAUGAAGGUCAUCAUGACAGAUGUUUUCCAAAAACUUGUAGAAGGCUGUGAAAAAACUACUAGGAUCACACGUCAUGUAUUGAGGUGUGGCAUGCAACAUUUUGGAAGGAAAAUUGAAGACUUGUUCAAGAAAACACGAACAGAAGCAAAUGAUGAAAAUGAUCAUUUUACUUGAUGUUGAUAACAUCACAAUAAAUUAUGGAGAAAAAUACA
RNAcentral lists this long non-coding RNA (394 nucleotides) under Theropithecus gelada (gelada). RNAcentral describes it as "lncRNA (ENSTGEG00000020608.1)". Lineage: Eukaryota; Metazoa; Chordata; Mammalia; Primates; Cercopithecidae. The record is from RNAcentral.